CGAUUGGGGUGAAGUCGUAACAAGGUAGCCGUAGGAGAACCUGCGGCUGGAUCACCUCCUUUCUAUGGAGAAA
RNAcentral lists this ribosomal RNA (73 nucleotides) under Clostridium sp. K04. RNAcentral describes it as "partial 16S ribosomal RNA". The stretch from base 1 to 62 matches the Rfam family "Bacterial small subunit ribosomal RNA", at positions 1472 to 1533 of the family's 1533-position model. The record is from RNAcentral. Lineage: Bacteria; Bacillati; Bacillota; Clostridia; Eubacteriales; Clostridiaceae. RNAcentral also lists the same sequence under 1 other name.